UGCGUAGGCGGCUUUGCAAGUCAGAUGUGAAAUCUAUGGGCUCAACCCAUAGCCUGCAUUUGAAACUGCAGAGCUUGAGUGAAGUAGAGGCAGGCGGAAUUCCCCGUGUAGCGGUGAAAUGCGUAGAGAUGGGGAGGAACACCAGUGGCGAAGGCGGCCUGCUGGGCUUUAACUGACGCUGAGGCACGGAAAGCGUUGGGUAGCAAAACGA
RNAcentral lists this ribosomal RNA (211 nucleotides) under uncultured bacterium. RNAcentral's name for it is "partial 16S ribosomal RNA". It matches the Rfam family "Bacterial small subunit ribosomal RNA", at positions 568 to 776 of the family's 1533-position model. The record is from RNAcentral.